This 81-nucleotide small RNA is filed under the name Flavobacterium sp. 9. Its description in RNAcentral is "Flavo-1 RNA". The record is from RNAcentral. Lineage: Bacteria; Pseudomonadati; Bacteroidota; Flavobacteriia; Flavobacteriales; Flavobacteriaceae.
AGUUCGCUUCGCUCGUGUGCAGUGAAAUCCUUUUGCGCCGGUGUUCGGCACAAAAGAUUGGAACGAAUAGCGGGAAUAGCU